RNAcentral lists this ribosomal RNA (451 nucleotides) under uncultured bacterium. RNAcentral's name for it is "partial 16S ribosomal RNA". It matches the Rfam family "Bacterial small subunit ribosomal RNA", at positions 29 to 523 of the family's 1533-position model. The record is from RNAcentral.
AGCGAACGCUGGCGGCAGGCUUAACACAUGCAAGUCGAGCGGGCAUCUUCGGGUGUCAGCGGCGGACGGGUGAGUAACGCGUGGGAACGUGCCUUCUGGUUCGGAAUAACUCAGGGAAACUUGAGCUAAUACCGGAUACGCCCUUUUGGGGAAAGGUUUACUGCCGGAAGAUCGGCCCGCGUCUGAUUAGCUAGUUGGUGGGGUAACGGCCUACCAAGGCGACGAUCAGUAGCUGGUCUGAGAGGAUGAUCAGCCACACUGGGACUGAGACACGGCCCAGACUCCUACGGGAGGCAGCAGUGGGGAAUAUUGGACAAUGGGGACAACCCUGAUCCAGCCAUGCCGCGUGAGUGAUGAAGGCCUUAGGGUUGUAAAGCUCUUUUAUCCGGGACGAUAAUGACGGUACCGGAGGAAUAAGCCCCGGCUAACUUCGUGCCAGCAGCCGCCGUAA